UCUCUGCCAGAGGGCCUCUCUCCAGCCACAGGGACAUAAGGGCAGGCUGAGCGUGCACAGAGGUCAAUGUCCCUGUGAACAACCUUCGACUGAUGAGUGACAAGACUCGGUGGAGAAACACCCCAGUUUCCUUGGCGCCUGGUGAGAGAAUUCGGAGUUGAGAUUAUGCUCAGACACAAGCACUGGAAAGAAGACACGGAACACUGAUAUAAAGGAGAGAAAAAACAAAAGCCGUCUCUGAGUUUGCGUCACCUUGAACGUCCACAGCCUCCUGUUGCCUUUCUAGGAAGGUCCCCUGCCUGUUGCUGGGGUUUUACAGGCAGCUGGGGAACUCGCUGGUAAACCCUGGACAGAAACAGGAACUCUACAAGAAGGGAAACCAAGUUCCAUCCAAAAAUGAAACCACCACAGAUCACAGGAGAUGCCCAUGUCAACACCUGGCCCACGGACAAGGGAGCAAAUAUGUUGAUGAUCUGGUCCAGCCGCCGGACCGCCUCAUUCGUCCCUGUACGUGAGAGGAAGGAAACAUUGCGAGCCACUGGAUUGCCAUCCUUCCUCCUGGGGAAAAAUGCCGUGCAUUUGCUGGCUUUGCGACCCAUGCACUGGGUGAAUGAUGGCGGAAACAAGAAAGGUUCCUUUCAGUCUAACUCUAGAUUAGUCAGUCAUAGGAUUUUCAACCUGGAAAAGGCCUUCACGAUUAGUUGUGGGAAUCUGAACAAUUAAAAAUGGGUAAACUGAGGAUUGGAGACACUAGGUUUUGUGGAGCUAAUUAUUUCAACUCCUGUCUCAGCACUCUUUCCUAUCACACCGUACUGUCUUAACAACUACAAUAAUAUCAAUAGACAUUAUUAUGACCAGCAUGUUGACAGAAUGGAGAUAAAGGACAGAAUCGGCUGAAUUCUUACUCUGCCAGGCACAGAGUUCUAAGCCUCCUACAUAUAUUUCUCUCACUUAAUCCUCACAACUCUAAGAAGUUGAUGGUAUCUCCCUUUUACAGGUUGGGAAAUUGAGGCACAAAGAGAUGAAGUUAUUUGCUCAAGGUCACAGAGAAGGGAAAAGGAGAAGCUGAGAUUUCAACCCAGGCAGUCUGACUCCAAAGCUUUUUCUCAACUCUUCUACCAUCAUUGAAGAAUAUAGUUACAAGAUCAUUUUUAAAAUUAUAAUGAACCUCAAACCGGAA
This is a long non-coding RNA of Myotis lucifugus (little brown bat), 1180 nucleotides long. RefSeq lists it as uncharacterized. Lineage: Eukaryota; Metazoa; Chordata; Mammalia; Chiroptera; Vespertilionidae. The transcript is spliced from 2 exons. The record is from RefSeq and is a predicted model, not a curated record.